CUCACAGUAGCGUCCUUCUGGGGCUGGUCCUCCAGGCCAUAUGCAGUAGGGAGGGAGGAUGAGUAAAAUGGUCAUGUCAUGUGAGUAAAAUGGUCUUGUGUCAUCAUUAGGUUUUUAUUGAAAUAUACAUUGUUAAUAACGUUUGUAUUUUUGCUUGAAAGCUUAGGAAAAGUCAAUUGAGUAACUAUCCUUCAAAGAGGGUGCCAAAUAGGAGAAAAAAAUACAUUUUACCAUGGGGUCCUAGAAAGAUAGUUUGGAUAUGAAAUUUGAUAAACCAAAUAUUACGUAUAGGAUUUGCUAGUUAAAAGAAGUUAAAUUACUUCAAAAAGUGGAUACCCUUUGCAAUGCAAACAAUCCUUUGCUUUGUUUCUAAUAUUUUGCCUUUUAUACAUUAGGUUAUUUUAAAUCAUGAGAGAGAGAGAAGGAAAGGAGGGAGAGUCUGGGCGCGGUGGCUCACACCUGUAAUCCCAGCACUUUGGGAGGCCGAGGUGAGGAGAUUGCUUGAGCCCAGGAGUUCAAGACCAGCCUGGGCAACAUGGCAAAACCCCGUCACUAUAAAAAUUACAAAAAUUAGACAGGCAUAGUGGUGUGGGCCUGUAGUUCCACCUACUGAGGGGCUGAGGCAGGAGGAAUCACUUGAACCCAGGAUAUUGAGGCUGCACUGAGCCGUGAUCAUACCAUUGCACUCCAACCUUGGUGACAGAUGAGAACUUGUCUAAGAAAAAAAAAAAAAAAAAAAAACAGGAGGGAGAACUGAGGACUGGAGAGCUGGAGGAGAAGAGGAGAUUUAAAAAGUAAAAGUGAAUUAAAUCCUUUAGUAUUUAAAAAACCUCCAUAGUUCAACUGGAAAAGUUCACUAGAGCCAAACUUACAUCAUUCUAGUGCUUCAGUGCAUCUCUUGUACUGACAUAAAUAGCAUAAAUGUUAUGCUUAUAUCUAUAACACAGGUAAAAAUGUUUCUGCUGCAGUUUUACAUGGAAAUUGCUCUACAGAUCAAACUUUUUAAUUUACAGAAUUAAUCUAAGAAAGAUAAAGGAAGUUUUUUUUUUUUUUUUUUAAAUUCUGUGACUCUAGCCAAUGCAAGGGGAGAUUUUAAAGUUGAAUGAUUGAACUGUGGCUGGAAGGUAACUUAGCAAAACGUAUUGUUAUGAAAAAGUUUUAUUGAUAGCAAAAAAAACAAAAACAACUCUAGCACUUACUUUGAUGAGGCAAGUUUCUUUUAGUCUGCAGGUAAUACUAAUCCUGCUACUAUUUCAACCCAACUGUGAUUCUCUAAAGUCAAUUCAUUAUUUUCUGUAGAUCAAGGGGUCAUUCAUUAAAAGGUAAAUGGAUUCUUUCCAUAACACCAAGAAGUAACUACAUCAAGACAGCAAAUUACCAAAUGGUGGUCUGAUAUCCUCCAAGACUACAGGAGCAAUUCACUUCCAGAGUAUUUUAAUCACUAUCCAUCUCCGAAGGCCUUUAAAAAGUAGCCACUUUUAACCUACUUUUCCAUCACAACAUCACUUCUAAAAUGAAGUUCCUGAAAAGGGUGAUAAUGUGACUCACACUAGUUUUGGGUGCCUAAUCAUGCUCCCAUGGUGCCUUGUUGAUCACAUUAUCACUUCCUUAUCCAGCUGUUGAUUCAGUCCCAUUACUUGAAAAGAACCCCUUAAGGGCAGGAACCAUCUUUCAACAUCCCCCAAAUAAACAUUAUGGAAUGAGUGAGUAAAUGAAGGCAUGCAACAUGAAUUGUCCCAAGUCACAGUAGCAGAAGAUGAUGAAAUAUGUGUUUUAAAAUUCUUGAACAAAUAGGUCAGAUGUGGUGGCCCACACCUGUAAUCCCAGCACUUUGGGACGCUGGGGCGGGAGGAUUGCUUGAGGCCAGAAGUUCAAUAUCAGCCUGGGCAACAUGGUGAAACCACCUCUCUAAAAAAAAAAAAAAAAA
Molecule: long non-coding RNA, 1927 nt
Organism: Macaca fascicularis (crab-eating macaque)
Lineage: Eukaryota; Metazoa; Chordata; Mammalia; Primates; Cercopithecidae
Source: Ensembl